Molecule: long non-coding RNA, 1523 nt
Filed under: Heterocephalus glaber (naked mole-rat)
Lineage: Eukaryota; Metazoa; Chordata; Mammalia; Rodentia; Bathyergidae
Description: lncRNA (ENSHGLG00000044829.1)
Source: RNAcentral
CCGAUAUCUUGACUUUUGUGUUCGAUUUCAGACUUCAGGCCACCUCUUUCUUUUUCUAAAUAUGAUGCAUGGUCUAUUAAAAAUUGUAUUGCAGUAAAAGAGCGACAGUUUGGGAAUUGCAGGUCUCCUGCUGAUGUAAGUGGGGAAAGACUGGACAGGACCCGGCUGAGAAGUGUCCCUGGGACUCCAGACCCCUUGAGAGAGCAGUCACUGUCACCAUAGCCAGCAGAACUCUUCCUCCUCCCCAGGGCAUGCAGUGCAAAACCUACGUUCAGCCACCCAGUUGACUACUCUAACCGUCGUUGGCUUCUUCAUGAACUCCUCAGGAUUUUGCAUGAAAAAGUUUCAGAAUUAGAAGGACAAAAGUGCAAUGGAAUUUUUUUGCUGGUUGAUACUUCCAUCUUUCUUGCAAAAAGCACAUGAAAAAUAAAUGUCGGAGGAUACAGUACCAGGACGUGCAGCUACACUACAAAAGCAUUGUCCGGAACCAGAUUCAAUAAAUUAAUGGCAAACUAGACUGGAUUUCUAGCCUAGGGGAGAAAGACUAAUUGAGAUUAAACCAAAAGGGUUAUAAACUGCUACAUGUGUUUGUGCUUUUGUUUACGACGGAUGGGUUUCAUUUUUGGAAACUGCUUGUACAAGCUGCAAGGCCCUCCACAGGAGGCUUUCCACGUCAAACAGCUAAACUGCUCCUUUGUCAGAUGGAAGUGAAACGGCUAGCUCUCAGGUAACUGCACUUAGGAAGAGAGGGAGAGAGGGGGGAAACCAGAAAGGGCCACCUAUGCAUCUGCACCCCAGCUCCGCUUAGGGCGGAUGAUGGGAAGGGCGAAGCCUCUUGUGUACAGAGCAUAUUAAAGACAAACUGCCCGAAGAGACAUUUUUGUCUUUUAAUAUAUGUAGCUACAAUAAGUACCAAAGGAGAAUUAAUUGAUGCUAACAUUUUAUAAAGACAUCCUAUUGCAGCGGGGGAGAAAGACAGCCUUAGACUUUCACUGGGGGAUGGAGCUGAGACCCAUGGAGAUAAACAUAAACACUGAGCGGGUAGCGGUUGCUGAUGAGAUUACAAAAUUUAGCAAAGAACUCGGGACAAAAUCCAAAUGGAACCCAAAAGUGGAGGAAUUAGGAAAGAAAGAUGAGCAGGAGGGAGGCUAAAAGGUCUCAUGUUCUUUAAUGAAAAUAAAUUAGUUAUAAUAGCGACUUUUUUUUUUUUUUUUUACUAUUAGAGGUUCGUUCUAAUCUGAGAGAUAGGACACAUACUCGGCCUCAGUUCUGUCAAAGUGCAAACAAAGCGAUGUCUCCAGAGGGCCUGACCGCAGACAGUAAGACAGUGAACUCCACACAGGGAUGAAGCCUGCUCACAAAGGGACCACGGUGCCGCCAAUCCUGAUUCGAAGGAUGGUGGUCUUUCAAUCAUAAAACUGGUAUUUCAGAGGAAAAUCAAUGAAGGACUAUGAGCUAAACUGCAAAAUUCUGACUCAUGGCAAACUGUUCCCUAGGUUACAAUUUUUAAAACCUUUUUUUUC